AAAUACACAAGCAGGGGAAGAAGAUUGUAAUAUGAAUGCAUUUCGGGAUGAAUUAGCUAAUGCUUUGUACAACAAAUCGUAGAUUAUUUGUAUGAUUGUAUUGUAAUGAUGUUGACAACAUUUUUGUAGUAUCUGCGUUCUAUCGUGUGUACAGGACAAUCUAAAUAAUUUGAAUAUUUUUUAUUUCAUUUCAUCGUUCUUUCAUUUGGCCGAAUGAAAAAAAAAAGAAGGCCACUUCACCUGCCGCCAAAGACCGAGCAGCACAAGCACCAGAAUGAGCACAAGCA
Molecule: long non-coding RNA, 287 nt
Filed under: Setaria viridis
Lineage: Eukaryota; Viridiplantae; Streptophyta; Magnoliopsida; Poales; Poaceae
Description: long non-coding RNA (SVIR_LNC011030)
Source: RNAcentral